UUAAGGAGGGGGUGGAGGCCCGGUGCCUCAGCCAGACAGUGCGCGUCAUCAGAGUGGACAGUUUCUGCUCCUCGGACACGUCUUGUGACUCUUCUCUAGUCGACUCUGACCUGGAGGUGGGUUGGAGCCCUGUUUAGCCCUGUUGUGGGAUUGUGAGGCUUGACAACAGGACGUAGAGAACCUUUCACCAAAAGAAUGGCCAGCAAACUCCAAACUGAACAUCUGCACUACUGAACAUCUGCACCUGCGCGGCCCUGCAAGAUGGGGGGAAAAAAAGUCAAACCAACUAAUGUAAAUCUGCAUUAGUAAAGUGAUCUGGUGCAUUCAUUUCAGGGGAAAUAAAAAGUGUCAACAGCAAAA
Gasterosteus aculeatus aculeatus (three-spined stickleback) is the source of this 360-nucleotide non-coding RNA. The record is from RefSeq and is a predicted model, not a curated record. NCBI's taxonomy places the organism in Eukaryota, Metazoa, Chordata, Actinopteri, Perciformes, Gasterosteidae.